Molecule: long non-coding RNA, 172 nt
Organism: Daphnia pulicaria
Lineage: Eukaryota; Metazoa; Arthropoda; Branchiopoda; Diplostraca; Daphniidae
Exons: 3
Source: RefSeq, a predicted model, not a curated record
ACUUUAUUCAAAUUCAAGAUACUACCAUGGUAUAAUAGGUUGAAAGGUACCUCCACUGGGCCCUUCCCGGUUGGGCCCGAUUUCAGGCGGUGUGGUGGCGCUAGUUGGAGGUAAAGUUAGUCUCAACAUGGGAAAGAUAGGAAAUAGCAUCUUAUUUGUUAUUCUGUUAAGU